UGAAGUGCGGUCCAAAAAUAGAAAUACGUUUUGUAAAAUAGUCUUUACACGUGUUUCUCACCGGCCACUCUGAUGGGGUUUUGGUAUUUAGUUCCCAGUUGUAUGAGUGUGUGAGAGUUUGUGUGAGUGUGUGUGUGAGAGAGUGUGUCUGAGACCGUGUAUGAGAAAGUGUGUAUGAGUGUGUAUGAGAGUGUGUAUGAGACCGUGUGUUAGAGCGUGUGUGAGAGUGUGUAUGAGUGUGUGUGAGAGUGUGUAUGAGACCGUGUGUUAGAGUGUGUGUGAGAGUGUGUAUGAGUGUGUGUGAGAGUGUGUAUGAGAGCGUGUGUGAGAGUGUGUAUGAGAGUGUGUAUGAGACCGUGUGUUAGAGCGUGUGUGAGAGUGUGUAUGAGUGUGUGUGAGAGUGUGUAUGAGACCGUGUGUUAGAGUGUGUGUGAGAGUGUGUAUGAGUGUGUGUGAGAGUGUGUAUGAGGACCGUGUGUUAGUGUGUGUGAGAGUCAUGCACAUCUCCCCCAUCACUCUGCUGUAUCCAAACAAGGCAUGGUUUGUGGCGUGUGGACUCUUCCACCAUCCACCUGUGUGGACUUUGCUCCUAAUCCUCUCUGAUCCUCUCUCUGCGUUGAAUACUUGGACUACUGAGUGUAACUAAUUCUCCCACACGAGGACAUUGUCUCGGCCACUUUCGCCUUUGUCUUCCUCCUCACGGCGUCUUAUUCAGGAGCCGCGUUCGUUAGCCGAACAGUCGGGCCAGGAG
Ictalurus punctatus (channel catfish) is the source of this 751-nucleotide long non-coding RNA. NCBI's taxonomy places the organism in Eukaryota, Metazoa, Chordata, Actinopteri, Siluriformes, Ictaluridae. The record is from Ensembl.